AUGUGCGGGGCAGCAGCUCAAAAACGUGAUUUUUGAGUCAUUUCUUAGAUUUUCUUUUCCUCUCUUCCUCUUCCCUCUUCCAUGUCCAAAACCCUAGCUCCCAAAACCUUGAUUUCCUCCACUUUUCUCAACAAAUCAACCAUGGAUCUUGCAUCAAGGAUGGAGAAUAAGAGGAGAUCACCACUUUCUACCAAAUGGAAUUUCGAAAUUUUUGAGGGCAUAACCUGAGAAGGACAAGCACUCCGUUAUAGCACUGUCACCAAUCAGAUGGUCAGUCCUAGCCAUGACGCUGCCUUCUUUUGUCAACCUUCGUGUGUCCAGGCACUAUACACAGUCAUUGAUUUUGUUAAGCUGAUAAGAUGUUGGCUUGCUUUUUGAAUGUCUAUCUAAGAGUGAUGUAUAUAGCUCUCAUGUUUUUGUAUAUGCCCAAUAAUAGGGCUGGGUCUGUAUAUAUGUAUGUAUAUAACCGAUGUUCAGGUGUAUGUUUUAGAUUUUAUUUGUUUGUUAAAAGU
Camellia sinensis is the source of this 512-nucleotide non-coding RNA. Lineage: Eukaryota; Viridiplantae; Streptophyta; Magnoliopsida; Ericales; Theaceae. The record is from RefSeq and is a predicted model, not a curated record.